RNAcentral lists this long non-coding RNA (3161 nucleotides) under Homo sapiens (human). Its description in RNAcentral is "HSALNT0309272". Lineage: Eukaryota; Metazoa; Chordata; Mammalia; Primates; Hominidae. The record is from RNAcentral.
CUUUUCUCUGCUCCAGGUAGAGAAUAACAGGAAGAUUACCUCCUUGAGCUCACACACCACAAUUAAGUAUCUCUCUAACUUUGUUGUACAGAAUUGCACUUCCUAAAUUCACAGGACAACUUAACUGCAAAAAUAAAGAGUGCUUUUUUAUUUUUUGGGAAAUGUAUCCAGUCUCCUUAUUUGAAGCCCACUGAUAGUUAAAAAGUAUGGUGAGAGAAUAAACAUACUUCCCUGUGAUGGUCAGCUCUGUGUGUCCAUUUGGCAAAGAGUGAUGAAAACAUCUUAAAAUGAAACUGUAGUAGUGGUGGCAUAACGUAAAUAAUAUAUGAACCAUUGAAUUGAACACUUAAAGUAGUGAAUAAGUCUCACGAGAGCUAAUGGUUUCAUAAAGGGGAGUUCCCCUGCACUAGCUCUCUUGUCUGCCACCAUGCAAGAUGAACCUUUGCUCCUCAUUCGCCUUCUGACAUGAUUGUGAGGCCUCCCCAGCCAUGUGGAACUGUGAGUCAAUUAAACCUCUUUCUGUUAUAAGUUACCCAGUCUCAGCCUUAAACCUGAGAAACCUGUUGGUAAAUAUUAAGUGGUUGAUAUGGUUUGGCUGUUUCCUAACCCAAAUUUCAUCUUGAAUUGUAGUUCCCAUAAUCCUCACGUGUUAUGGGAGGAAUGCUGUGGGAGUUUAAAUCAACUGUACAUAAAAAGUUAUGAGUCUUAGAUGACAUGUGGAAAACCUUUGGUUCUGAAGGUCAUAAGCAAGUUACAACUGCACACCUGGUGUACAAACGGGGUUUCACCAUGUUGGUCAGGCUGUUCUUGAACAGCCUUGUGGGUUUUACUAUUUGGACUUGCAAAGGUUAGUACCCCAGGGAUAAUGAUUUCCUUUUGAGUGUUCCAUCUUUUUGAGAAUAGCCUUCCACUUAUAAGUGGAAGCAUCAUUUCCACUUAUAAGUGAGAACAUACAAUGUUUGGUUUUCUAUUCCUGAGUUACUUCACUUAAAAUAAUGGCCUCCAAUUCCACCCAAUUUGCUGCAAAAGAUAUUAUCUCAUGACUUUUUAUGGCUGAGUAGUAUUCCAUGGUUUAUAGCAUUUUCUUUAUUCACCGGUUGGUUGAUGGGCACUUAGGUUGGUGCGAAUUGUAUUGUUAUAAACAUGCAUGCACGGAUCAGUAGAGAGAAAUAAAGUAAUUAUUUUUUCCAAUUAGCAAAUCUAAAUGUAACAUAGGCCUCUCAGUCACUUAAUUCUCAAAUAUCUUUUCUCUAAUUAUAACAAGAAGACUACCAUGUGGAAUUAUAAAGCCCAUAAUCAUUUUUAGCCCACUUUCAUCCUCCAUCACUGUGCCUCCAGUUAUAGCUAGGUAUCCAUGCUCUCAUGGGGGACUUUGUCUAGGAAGGCCUUUACCUCGCCUGUGUUGGGAGGGUCGUGCAUGGAAGCACCAGAUCUGGUAAUAUGAUAAUCAAGGAAAAUAACCAACCAAAAAGAGUUGAUUAGUUCCAAAUGAUAAUUUAAUGUAAUAUCAUUCCUGUAUAAAAUAUUUAUUUUAUAUAAUGCUCUGACUGAAAUGUUCAACAGUUAUUCAAAGUCUACUUCCAGGAGCAUAAAAAGACAAAUUGCAUUCGUUUUAAAAUGCACUAAUUAAAAUAUUUUGUUUUCCCUUAAAAUGUUUUCUUAAUCUCCAAAUACAGUGAGUGACAGAAUUCUGACUCAUGAUUUUUGUUAAGGUUUAGAUCCUCUGAGCCUUGCUGAUUUUUAAAAAUUUGGUUAUUGAAAAGCCUAGCAUCUACCACAUUUGUGCUUUUGUUUUCAACUGACAUUUUGUUUACGAUUCCAAACUUAAGGUCUCUAGGUCUCUAUCCAGAUAUGAAUUCCUUUAGGAUACUUAUUUUUUUAUGAAUUUUUCCUGGAGGUGGCCUUGAUUAUUAAUUAUUUGUUAAUGUAGCCAUAUCUUUUAGCUUCACCUACAUUGCUGGACUUCUUAUAACAGUGAGUUUAUUCUGCACUUCAUUGCAUUGCUCAAUGCGAUGACCAAAAAAAAGACACAACCUGGUUAUUGUGAAAUUUGCAAAGAAAUAUGCAAAGAUUUUUAUGUCACCAGGGUUAUUGAAUAACUAACAUGCAAAGAUUUGGAAACUUUAAUUCAACGGUCAUCAUUUUAACAUAUUGACUUAAUAUAUAUCUGACUGUCUUUAUUUCCUGGAUAGUAGAGUGCCAGGUUCUGUCAACAGGGUCUCUCUAAGGGGUUCAAUGAUCAGUAUUGAGUCUGUAUCAUAAUACCAAGAGCAUUGUUUACUAAGGGCAUCAUCAUCUCUGGAGGUGAUAAUGCCUAUUAAGAAAAACGAUCCUGACUGAGGGCCAGGCUUUGUUUACUUUAUAAAAAGAAACCACAGCCCAAAGCUUUUACAGUUCACAAGCCUGAGGAAAUCCUAAUUUUCUUAAGGUAGAAGUUUAAGUUAUUGAUUUGGGGUGUUUUCCCCCUUCUAAUAUAUAAGCAUUUUGAGAUAUAAAUUUCCCUCUGAGCACCAUUUUGAACAGCAUCCCAUCAGUUUUGGCUCCAAUUACACAGAUAGCAAUUUUGUAGACAGAUUGCAGUAAAGUUGAUCAUACCUAAGACCUUUUUAGUUCCACCCAGUAUGACUCUGGCCUUCACCAUGUGACUUGCUUAGCCCAUGGAAUGUUAGCAAUAUUUAUGCAAGCAGAGGCUUGAAGAAGUAUUUGUGGCCAUUCAAUUUUAAUAUUUAUGUCAGGGUAAGUGGUAGCAGACUACCCCUUAUGUUUUUAACAACCAUAAAAACAAACACAAAAUAUACGAAGAAAAACUUUCAGUAUUGGAAGACAGAUUGCACAAGACUGUGAUCCAUGAAAGAAGAGAAAUAAGAAAAAUUCCCUGGCUCUCUGUCUUGGGACAGUAUUCCAACUGAAGAAUGGAUUUCUGGAGAUUGAGGUGACUCUGACCAUCUUAAUGAGUGGGAAGGUAGAUAUCAGAAUUCAAGGCAACUGACGCAGCUGGUAUCUGUAGGACAGGACCUGAGGCAAAAGAGAGACUGAAUCAGGGUUAUCUCAAAGGUCUGUGGUGGCUUCCCCAUGAGUCCUUGACCGAAAGCUAGAUUUUACAUGGAAGGAGUAAUACAAUAACUGACUUACGAGAUAUGUGUUCUCCAGGGUUGAGAAAG